CUGUAGUUGCCGCUGGUGCCCACACCCGGCUCCCGGGAGCGGGAAGCGAGGGUGGCACGGCUGUGAUCCGUGUGGAGAGAGGGCGCAGCGGUGUUUGCACAGCGCGGACGGAAGCGCCCGUGCUGGCCCGAGGCGCUGGGCAGCAAUGACGAGGUAUAACCUGCCUCAGGUGAAAGCCCUGACUCUAAGCCUCCCCCUGACCCCAAAUGAGUGGUGAGGUGUCCUGGAGAUCAGAUGAGGAGAUACGAGGAGCCGGAAAGCAUUUCUGAGCAUUCAAGUGUUGAAAUCAUGUUACUGCUCCCUGAGCUCAGCUGACACAGGAGACAGGUAUGGAAGGUUUGGUGAUAAGCAGUCUGAACUGUAGCAUACAACCUGCUGUGGAUAGAGCAAAGCAAGCCUGGCCUGGAAAAGCAUCAGAGGCUCCAUGUACAGUAAUUCACCUACAGGUGUCCGUGUGUGGCUGUG
Prinia subflava (tawny-flanked prinia) is the source of this 465-nucleotide long non-coding RNA. RefSeq lists it as uncharacterized. The transcript is spliced from 4 exons. NCBI's taxonomy places the organism in Eukaryota, Metazoa, Chordata, Aves, Passeriformes, Cisticolidae. The record is from RefSeq and is a predicted model, not a curated record.